AGUGAACGCUGGCGGUAGGCCUAACACAUGCAAGUCGAACGGCAGCACAGUAAGAGCUUGCUCUUACGGGUGGCGAGUGGCGGACGGGUGAGGAAUACAUCGGAAUCUACUUUUUCGUGGGGGAUAACGUAGGGACACUUACGCUAAUCCCGCAUACGGCCUACGGGUGAAAGCAGGGGAUCUUCGGACCUUGCGCGAUUGAAUGAGCCGAUGUCGGAUUAGCUAGUUGGCGGGGUAAAGGCCCACCAAGGCGACGAUCCGUAGCUGGUCUGAGAGGAUGAUCAGCCACACUGGAACUGUGACACGGUCCAGACUCCUACGGGAGGCAGUAGUGGGGAAUAUUGGACAAUGGGCGCAAGCCUGAUCCAGCCAUACUGUGUGGGUGAAGAAGGCCUUCGGGUUGUAAAGCCCUUUUGUUGGGAAAGAAAAGCAGCAGGUUAAUACCCCGCUGUUCUGACGGUACCCAAAGAAUAAGCACCGGCUAACUUCGUG
Molecule: ribosomal RNA, 492 nt
Filed under: uncultured bacterium
Lineage: Bacteria
Description: partial 16S ribosomal RNA
Rfam family: Bacterial small subunit ribosomal RNA
Source: RNAcentral